AGAGUUUGAUCCNGGCUCAGGACGAACGCUGGCGGCGUGCCUAACACAUGCAAGUCGAGCGAGGUGUAUACACCUAGCGGCGGACGGGUGAGUAACACGUGGGUGACCUGCCUCAAAGUGGGGAAUAGCCUCUCGAAAGGGAGAUUAAUACCGCAUAACAUACGCACAUUUAAAACGCGUAUCAAAGGAGAAAUCCGCUUUGAGAUGGGCCCGCGGCGCAUUAGCUAGUUGGAGAGGUAACGGCUCACCAAGGCGACGAUGCGUAGCCGACCUGAGAGGGUGAUCGGCCACAUUGGAACUGAGACACGGUCCAGACUCCUACGGGAGGCAGCAGUGGGGAAUAUUGCACAAUGGGCGAAAGCCUGAUGCAGCAACGCCGCGUGAGCGGUGAAGGCCUUCGGGUCGUAAAGCUCUGUCCUCAAGGAAGAUAAUGACGGUACUUGAGGAGGAAGCCCCGGCUAACUACGUGCCAGCAGCCGCGGUAAUACGUAGGGGGCUAGCGUUAUCCGGAUUUACUGGGCGUAAAGGGUGCGUAGGCGGUCUUUCAAGUCAGGAGUGAAAGGCUACGGCUCAACCGUAGUAAGCUCUUGAAACUGUAAGACUUGAGUGCAGGAGAGGAGAGUGGAAUUCCUAGUGUAGCGGUGAAAUGCGUAGAUAUUAGGAGGAACACCAGUUGCGAAGGCGGCUCUCUGGACUGUAACUGACGCUGAGGCACGAAAGCGUGGGGAGCAAACAGGAUUAGAUACCCUGGUAGUCCAC
This 759-nucleotide ribosomal RNA is filed under the name uncultured bacterium. RNAcentral describes it as "bacterial SSU rRNA". It matches the Rfam family "Bacterial small subunit ribosomal RNA", at positions 8 to 798 of the family's 1533-position model. The record is from RNAcentral.